Small nuclear RNA from Rattus rattus (black rat), 64 nucleotides. RefSeq annotates it as U7 small nuclear RNA. The transcript has a single exon. The record is from RefSeq and is a predicted model, not a curated record. NCBI's taxonomy places the organism in Eukaryota, Metazoa, Chordata, Mammalia, Rodentia, Muridae.
AGCUGACACAGUUCUUUUAGAAAAUUUUCUAGGAGGUUUUCUGAUUUUUGAAUGGAAAACCUGA